GGAAUAACAAAAGAAAUCACCAUGCAUGCGAUAGACCGCACAGGCAAGUUAUUCUAAAAGAAUAAUAAAGGAUGGAACCAGGUCCGGCAUAAACGCACAGACAGGAUAUUCCGACAGAAUAAUAAAUAAUGAAACCAGGUCUGGCGUAAACGCACAGAUAGGAUAUUCCAACAGAAUAAUAAAUAAUGGAACCAGGUCCGGCGUAAAUGCACAGAAAGGAUAUUACGACAGAAUAAUAAAUAAUGGAACCAGGUCCGACGUAAAUGCACAGACAGGAUAUUCCGACAGAAUAAUAAAGACCGAAAUAUCAGAAGAAUGUCACCAUGUAUAGGGUAGCCCGCGUAUACAGGUUAUUCCAACAGAAUAAUAAAUAAUAGAAUAACAGAAGUUCUCUUCAUGAGUACAACAAAUAACAUCCCUUACCGUAAAAGAAACUGAAUAUAAGAGUAGGGAAGUAGCAGAAUACUUUUCUAUAGGUUCUCUUGUAAUUCUCUCUCUAGAGUUUUAAUGAAUUUGUAAGAAAUAAUGAAGGAAUGAGCUUCUAUUUAUAGGAAAAUGGAAUGAAUAGUAACUAAUUCAUAAACGGUCCAGAUUGAUUUACUAUUAAACGGACGGUCCAUAUUGGUUUACUAUUAAAACUUAAAACAACGGUCCAUACUGAUUUACUAUUAAAACUUUAAACCAGCGAUCUAUAUUGAUUACUAUUAUAACUCCACCAGCGGUCCAUAUUGACUUACUAUUAUAUGUUCAACCAACGGUCUGAAAAAUUAGCACAUCUCCUCAUGUAAUAAUAUUGUACCCAAAUACCUGAAUGCACAAUACUAGAGUGAUAAGUAACCGGGUGAAUAGUAACUCGUGAAUAGUAACUCGUGAAUAGUAAAUCAUGAACAGUAACUCGUGAAUAGUAACUCAUGAAUAGUACUUUGACACAAAAAGUGUUUCGAAUACCCAAUUGAACAAUAUAUCCUCCAGACAUCAAUUAUACUAACACAAAUAAGUCCAACACAAUGGAACUAUAAAAUUCAUCUUUAAUCAACACGAACUUAUUCAUCAUUAAUAUUAUAAUUCACAAUAUUUAAAAACCAGGUCGUUCCAUGGAAAAAGGGGGCUUUUCGAUAAGGAUUUCUCCUUAUUGGCGCGCAAUUAGGUGACCAAACCUCUCCUUGACAGAACUUCUAGACAUUGUCAAUAUUG
Molecule: long non-coding RNA, 1194 nt
Filed under: Panax ginseng (ginseng)
Lineage: Eukaryota; Viridiplantae; Streptophyta; Magnoliopsida; Apiales; Araliaceae
Description: long non-coding RNA (PGIN_LNC019273)
Source: RNAcentral